UCGCACUGGUCAGUACUGACACUAAGGCGUCGGGUGAAGGGGUAGCUCAUAUUCUUUUCCCUUCAGGGGACGAGCGAGGCCGUCGAGGUUGAGCUAGAGAAGGAGCCCGCGCUUUGGCUUUAGCUCUCGCGCGCGCUUAGCGCUUUAGCUCCCCUAUGUUCGUGCGUCUUGCGUUUCUCAGUCCACCCUCUCUUCUCCAGCCGGCGGAACCACGGUACCCCUACGACAGCGACUUAGCGUAGAACAAUUUCGUCCUCGCCUCCGCUGCGGAAGCCGCUUAGGUUCGGGUGUUACUUAACUAAUGAUUUCACGGUCUAUUUUUCCUGAGUGAGACGGUUGUUCUACUAGUCAGUGUCCCACCACUAUCCAGCUGUAGAAGUCCCGGCUUAGAUGGACUCCUAUAGACCACGGAACAUGUAAGGGAUUACGGUAACACACUAAGACGGGUGAGACGGACACACAGAGCGUGUAAAGAUGCAAGAACCUCUACGGUGGGGUUCGAAUAGAAGUCACUCCUUCGUGAUCCAAACUUUGUCUUCCUUCCUGCUUUAUAGUUAUAUCGUACCCUAAAGUGAUCGUCUCAAUUAGUUUCCCGUCGGGCCACGUACAUCGAGGGCGAACGCGUCCCAGGCCCCUUCCCAGGCUGGUGAAACCCAGAUAUCAUGCGUCGGAAAGGAUGUAAAGACAUUCUCCGACAAAGGUCCUGAACUUGGGCACUGGAGAACCAGUGUUCCGUCGUCGAAAUGGUGACGCGGUUCCGAGGGGAAGUGAUCGUCUCAAUUAGUUUAAGACUUUUUAGUGAGUCUGUGGUCACACUUCUAUGAGCUCAAACAUUAGUUAUUAGCAGUGUUACAGUUGUGUACAGUCGAUUUAUCAACCGAGGUCUUUCGACAGUGUGGUCCCUAACUUUUUUAGUGGGAAAAAGACGGAUACCUUAUUCCCUUCUCAUGUUGAAGGGCACGAGUCAAAAUAAACUACCCGCACCUUUGAGUUAAACCAUAGAAUUGGAGUGGUUAACGCGGAAGGCAGGGCACCGACCUAAACUAACGAACUCUUCGGACUGUUUCGACGCAGAAAUACCUCAAACAUAGUCCCCCCUACUCAAUCCCGUAGAAUAAAGGUUAACAAAACGAAACCUCCUCAACGUUCAGACCACAACGUACCUCGAUUAGACGAACUGCUAUGGUAAGACCGACGUCGCCGAAUCAACAAACUGACACAGUCUCACGCUAUACGACGCUCACUAUCUCUCGUGUCGAGGUUUGGAGUGGUGAAAUCUGAAGAAACCACUUGGUCAUGUUGAACACGAAUCUCUUAGUAGUUUCCAUUUUUUGAACGUUCACCCCAUAAGUAUAUUCGGGUUACGAUAUUCAAUACGAUAGUGAUUCGAUGGAAGAUAACACGGUGUAGAAAUCUGAGAAUGAUAUAUGAGCAGAAGACUCUGCCAAUUAUGGGGUUACCAUCGACUGUUUAAGGAACUGUAUUUCGUGAACUUAUAAGUGGAACCACUCCUAAUACUACUGCGACAAUGGGGCUGGAUACUAAUAAAUAGGAACCGAAACAAAGACCUACGAACAGGACAGGACCUCUCAAAGUGGAAUUAACAUCUAGUCUCACUAUACGUCGUACUAAGCCAAAAACCCUUAGGGAGGAACAAAAACUCCGUCUAAGAAGUUGUGUUCGUACUCUCCGAGUUCUUCCACGUCUAGUAACCGAAGACGAGACGUUUCUCGUACCAACUCGAUUGUACACUAUAAGAGUUCUUACGUUGUAGUGAACUCUCGGAGUGAGACCUGACACAUAAACCACGCCCAUGCCCCCGGUAAUCACUAAGACAAUCCACACCAGGGAGUUUUAGGCUAUUUACGACCUAGUCUUCGGCUUGAUACUAGAACCUUCGUGUAUUUCGUGAGCCACGGUAGUUUUGCAUGUAGGACCUCUCUCAAGGGGGACGUCAGUUCAAUUUACAACCCCCCGGAACAUCGGCCACGGUUCGAUACCUACACUACGAAAUCAAAAAUUACAACGUCUACAACAGUAGCAGUAACAAGUCAUAACAAAUAUCGAUCAUAUACGUUGCGGUUUACACAACAGUUUCAAAAAGAUACGAUACGUGGAAUAACCGCAGAGAAUUGUGACGUUCAACUAACAAUGAGGUGGAUUUAAUCUCGGGUCCGGUCGAUACGUUUAUGUAAAACCGCACAAACCAAGAUUUCAUAAAAAUUCAUAAGGUUCUUAUGGUUUCAUAGAACCUUUGGAUAACAAAGUUCAUGAAGUUGGAAUCAAGGUUUAAUGUUGUGAAUAAUAACUGCC
Molecule: ribosomal RNA, 2313 nt
Filed under: Triticum aestivum (bread wheat)
Lineage: Eukaryota; Viridiplantae; Streptophyta; Magnoliopsida; Poales; Poaceae
Description: partial small subunit ribosomal RNA
Source: RNAcentral